UUCCAGAAUAAUGUCACUUGACUGUCCAACUUUAAAAGCAAGGCAAGUUCGGGGACUAGCAGAAAUGUUGGCACAGGCCAAGGACAGUCGAAGAGUGCUGGACACAUGUGCCCAGUUGGGAGAGCUUGGAGACUGACCCCAUGGACGGACUGCAUCUGCCCUGACUGUGGGAGGACUGGAGCAGGAAGGCCAUGAGUCAGAGCUGCCUGUGGACAGAGAGGGUGCUCACCCAUGUGGCUGGCCAUGGGGCAGCCUAUGAAUUGUCUCCUCCAGCUUCAAGGGCCAGGGCUAGGAAGCUGUGCCCCUCACCGAACACACAAACUUUAUGUUCCUGUGGGAGGCUGUCCCAUGACCCCAUUUUCUGCCUUAUGAGAAAGCACUCAGGAAUGAAAGAGAGCACAGGACCUCGUGACUGCGAUCAUCAGUGAUGGUCCCCCAGGGCCCCUGCAAAGGCCUUCGUCCCCUCCUAUCUCCCUCAGUUCUCUCCCCUCUUCAGAUGGUCCACACAAACUACCAAAAAACUGAAGUCAGAACAGUGCUCAUUAUGUCCAAACAGGUCUACUUCAAAUCCUCUAGACAGUGGCCUCGCACCAGGCAGCUGCCUGAAGCCCCUCUACAAUUCUGGAGCCUCUUGCAUGGUUGAAACCUUGAAUUCAUCCUUUUUCUUAAUUGUUGUUCCUCUGUUACUAGUAAUGAAUUGCUUGGUGGAUGCCAAAGCCUUUACCCUCCAGGGUAAGAAAAAGGGUUUAAAAAAUAAGCAUCCCAGAAAAAACUUAGAACAACUCAAAUCUCAGUGUGUUAAAAAGGCAGCACAAGGGCAUGUUUAAAGGCUAGUUUCCAAGACUUAGAUCCAGUUCUGAUUCAGUAGAAAGAGCCUGGGAAUAUGCCUUUUAAAUAAACAACUCUAGUUAUUCAAGUUGUAAAUGGCCUGUACUCUGCAGAUCCCACCUUGAGACACAUUUGUUUAAAUGUACAUCAAGGAGUGAAUGCUUCCCUUGGGAUGGUUGGAAGUAUCGGUGGCUGGGGAGAGAUAACUAUUCCAAGUGCCUUGGAAAGGGAAAAAGAGUGGAUGCAAAUACAUGACAGGCUUUGCACAUAUUUGACAAGGAGUAAGCAUUGAUACCAUGAAAAAUACACCUAAAGGAAAUGAAAUCAUGCCAUUCUCCUAUUCAUUUUGCCAUCUCUGCUUGCCCCUCAGAUCUGGGCAGCAUUCAGGGAUCAGAUCUGGUUAGACUCAGGGAUGCCCAGAGGCCCCAAAGGCCUCUCCGUCGCCAGCCCUCCUGACUUCCUUCUGAUGUGUUUUGAAUAUGGAGGUGACAGGAAGAGGAUGAGAAUUUUCUCUGAGAGCGGGGCCUGGCUUCUGCUUCCUGUCAGAACGCACUCUCCUCUUUCCAAGGAUGCAUCAGGACUAGAGGAACACCACCUUUAUUCAUCCGAGUAAACCUUAGGUCUUACUCAUCAAUUCUGAAUGGGAAGACCUAGAAUGUGGUAUUAAAUGUCUUCAAGUGAGCAAGGGGCUAUGUUACACCUUUGUGCUAGAUGGUGUCAUUAUUAAUAGCAAGCACUCAUGUAACACUUACCAUGUGCCGAAAUACUUUGCAAAUGUUAACUUGUUUAAUCCUCACUACAGGUCUAUGUGGUAUAUGAGAUUGGUGGUUUUAUAGAUUACUAUGAACUCAUUUUGUGGAUGAGGGAACUAAGGCAUAGAAAGAUUAAGUAACUCACACAAGGUCAUGUAGCUAGUAAGUGGGGGACUAAGGAUUCCAACCUGCAUUCUCACUCACUAUCUGUAUCUAUAUGUCCAUAUACUACCCAUCUAAGAAGGCAAAACCAGGCCGAAGCCAGAAAAUCCUCCAGAAGCAAACAAAAAUAAUACUCUUUAAAAAAAAUCUAUUUUCAAAGACAUUUCAGAAAAGGAGACUGGAAAUAGCAAACUAAUUUGAGCAUGUACUCAAUAUAAAGGCAGAAUCACUUCAUGGUUCUUAUAUCUAUAUAUUCAUUAGUACAGUCCAACAAACUACAAUCUAUUAAAAACAACCCUGCAUGACAACCAAUUUUUAUUUGGUUCAUGCCAACAAUUAUCUCAUUUAAUCCUCAGCCUGUUGAAGACUGCCUUAACAGCUUCUUUGCUGAAUAUUAACACACCAAAGAUAACUGUCUUUCUAACAUGAUUUCCAACACACUGUGUCCUGUAGCCCAGGUAGAAAAAUUGCAUCUACUUUUGAAGAAUAGGAGAGACCACAGACAGACUCACACUGAAGCAGCCUUUUACUGAAAACUCACAUUGCUGGUUCCUCCUGGAAUCUACUUCUGUUUGGGGGAAAGCAUUAACAUAGGAGUCCUGAGCCUCAACUGUAGUUCUGGCUCCCCACUAAUAAGUUGUAUGAUGCACGGUAGGCAGUUACCUCUUUGAAUCUGUUUCUUAGCUUUCUUAUGUAUUUUUAAGGUCAAAUGAAAUUUUUAUGAAAGUGGCGAAACUGUGUUACAAAAUGUAAGGUAGUAUUACAGAUGGUUUUAAUAAAUAUGAUAAUUAUUAUUUUAUUUAUCUAAAGGCCAUGUGACUGCAACUUAAUUUGAGGUUGCCUGUCUGCUGUUUCCCCUCCUAUGACCCCCCAGUUAAACUUCUUGUGGGAAGGAACCAUGUCUUAUUCAUUUUUGCCUCUUGAGCCUGUUUCUGGUACAUAGUAGGUAAUCAGUAAAUGUUUCCAUUCAUAAUAACAGGAGUUUUCAAAGGAAUUUUAAAGGUAUCCCAUCUAGGUUGAGAGGAGCCCAUGAAAGAAAAAGUC
This is a long non-coding RNA of Manis pentadactyla (Chinese pangolin), 2786 nucleotides long. RefSeq lists it as uncharacterized. The transcript is spliced from 3 exons. The record is from RefSeq and is a predicted model, not a curated record. Lineage: Eukaryota; Metazoa; Chordata; Mammalia; Pholidota; Manidae.